CCCUUAGACGUUCUGGGCCGCACGCGCGCUACACUGACACAGGCAACGAGCUUUCCUUUACCGAAAGGUAUGGGUAAUCUUUUGAAACUGUGUCGUGCUGGGGAUAGAUCCUUGCAAUUUUUGAUCUUAAACGAGGAAUUCCUAGUAAGCGCGAGUCAUCAACUCGCGUUGAUUACGUCCCUGCCCUUUGUACACACCGCCCGUCGCUACUACCGAUUGAAUGGCUUAGUGAGGCCUCAGGAUCCGCGCUUAAUGUGUGGAGAAUUUGGACAAACUACGUCAUUUAGAGGAAGUAAAAGUCGCAACA
RNAcentral lists this ribosomal RNA (307 nucleotides) under uncultured eukaryote. RNAcentral describes it as "partial 18S ribosomal RNA". It matches the Rfam family "Eukaryotic small subunit ribosomal RNA", at positions 1470 to 1796 of the family's 1831-position model. The record is from RNAcentral.